Drosophila obscura is the source of this 972-nucleotide long non-coding RNA. RefSeq lists it as uncharacterized. The record is from RefSeq and is a predicted model, not a curated record. The transcript is spliced from 3 exons. NCBI's taxonomy places the organism in Eukaryota, Metazoa, Arthropoda, Insecta, Diptera, Drosophilidae.
AUCGGGUCUCAGAGAAAUAAAAAUAAAAAUAAUUAGAAACAAGGAGGAAGUAGAGCUGCCUAGCGGGACCGAUGCGGAUAUAUUAGAAAAGCUGGAAAAAAAAGGAACAAAAACUGUGCCCAGUUCCGCCGUCCUGUCCACAGCGGCAUGGUCCUUCGCCCGGCCUAGAAGUGGACCCCGGAAUAUCGUCCCCGUCCUCCAGCAAAGAUGUUAUUAAACCCUAUUUAAAUACCUACAUAUAAGUUAGAACCCACUAGGCCGUCGCAUAUCUGUGUAUACACUUAUUUAUUUAUUUACCGUUAAUUAUAUUUAUUUAUUUGUUCUUAUAUAUGUAAUUGUCACUAUUUAUAAUUAUUUAUUUAUUUAAUCAUAGUUAAUUUGAUACGCCCAUGCCCAUAAUUUAGGUCACAGAAAGGAAGAGGUUAGGAUGGGGAUUAGGAGGUCGACCUAAACCAGCUAGGAGUUAUAGAAUACCAAAAGAAUGUGUGAAAAAUGUUAUUUAAAGUGAAAUUAUAACGUUUAAUAUGAAUUGCUAGUGUGUUUAGUAUGGGGGGGAAAGGGGACCACAGCGGCGAAAUGGAGAUCGGCCGCUACACUUGAGGAAAAGAGGAGAUUUGUAGUUGUUCCGCGUCGGAGAGAUGAUUGUCCGUGAGGUUUAGUGUAAAGUCCGUUGGUUUGUUUUGAAUCGUCGUUUUGUUGUCAUAUUUGUUCGAGAUGCCCGAACAGCUGGUUUGUUGUGCGACCUGGGGGCCUGGGAAAAACCUAUUCCUGAGAUGACUGGCUAGCCGGCCUUGCCCCACCACUAAAACAGGUUCGUAACAAUAAUGGCGCCCAAUCUAAGACAAAUUUGUGAGUCGCAGUCCGUUCUCGAACACGAAAGUGGGAGAGUACGGCUGCGAAUCACAAAAGUCGAGGAGGUUAUAAAUGUCCAGCCGAGAGGAACGAUCUCGAGUGGUAGUCUGCAGUAAGGGU